Ribosomal RNA from Hucho hucho (huchen), 119 nucleotides. The record is from Ensembl. NCBI's taxonomy places the organism in Eukaryota, Metazoa, Chordata, Actinopteri, Salmoniformes, Salmonidae.
GCUUACGGCCAAACCAGCCUGAAUGUGCCUGAUCUCGUCAGAUCUCGGAAGCUAAGCAGGGUUGGGCUUGGUUAGUACUUGGAUGGGAGACUUCCUGGGAAUACCAGGUGCUGUAAGCA